AACGCUGGCGGCAGGCUUAACACAUGCAAGUCGAGCGCCCCUCCUUCAAGCAAGCUUGAAGGUCCUUUGGCCGAAGGCCAGGAAAGAGGAUCAAGAAAGCCGAGCUUUCUUGAUGGAGGGGAGCGGCAGACGGGUGAGUAACGCGUGGGAAUCUACCUAGCUCUACGGAAUAACCCAGGGAAACUUGGACUAAUACCGUAUACGUCCGAGAGGAGAAAGAUUUAUCGGAGUUAGAUGAGCCCGCGUUGGAUUAGCUAGUUGGUGGGGUAAAGGCCUACCAAGGCGACGAUCCAUAGCUGGUCUGAGAGGAUGAUCAGCCACACUGGGACUGAGACACGGCCCAGACUCCUACGGGAGGCAGCAGUGGGGAAUAUUGGACAAUGGGCGCAAGCCUGAUCCAGCCAUGCCGCGUGAGUGAUGACGGCCUUAGGGUUGUAAAGCUCUUUCAACGGUGAAGAUAAUGACGGUAACCGUAGAAGAAGCCCCGGCUAACUUCGUGCCAGCAGCCGCGGUAAUACGAAGGGGGCUAGCGUUGUUCGGAAUUACUGGGCGUAAAGCGCACGUAGGCGGAUACUUAAGUCAGGGGUGAAAUCCCGGGGCUCAACCCCGGAACUGCCUUUGAUACUGGGUAUCUAGAGUAUGGUAGAGGUGAGUGGAAUUCCGAGUGUAGAGGUGAAAUUCGUAGAUAUUCGGAGGAACACCAGUGGCGAAGGCGGCUCACUGGACCAU
This 729-nucleotide ribosomal RNA is filed under the name Salmonella enterica subsp. enterica serovar Brandenburg. RNAcentral's name for it is "bacterial SSU rRNA". It matches the Rfam family "Bacterial small subunit ribosomal RNA", at positions 32 to 737 of the family's 1533-position model. Lineage: Bacteria; Pseudomonadati; Pseudomonadota; Gammaproteobacteria; Enterobacterales; Enterobacteriaceae. The record is from RNAcentral.